AGAUCAGAGCGUGGGGGGAAAUGCCAAUUAACCAGGUGGCAUACGGUGGGUAACGGAAAUGCCGGGGGGCGGGACAUACACCUGUCAAAAUCUGAUGAUGUAUAAUAGUGACGCCUUAUACUACUGUCCUGCGCCGCUCUACUCCGUCGGACCUCCAUCCUGGUCUGCUGGCCAGAGCCCACUUCCCAAAUACUGUAGGCGGAUAUUUGAACGAAACCGAAACCACAGCUCCAGUCCGGCGGAGUAUGGAGAUGGUGGGUCUGCUGCUCCUGGUCGCGCUGUUCACCCCAGGCUCAGAUGGCAUCCCGAGGGCCUACACAUCACAAUCAACUGUUGUCGGUGUGAGGAAUGAAGCCAGCAUCCUGCAGUGCCUGUUCUCGGUCACUCCGGGACCCAUUGACCCCAACAGUGUGGGUGUCACCUGGUAUCAGUAUGGCUUCCCAGUGGCCAUGUUUCAGAAUGGAGUGGCCUUGGAGAGACAGGACGCCUAUCUGUCUGAAAGUGACAUCGGGCAAGGAAACGCAUCCCUGCUGCUGAAGCCCACCGCCAAGAGAGAUGAAGGACAGUAUGACUGUGAAAUCGCCCACGGAGGGAAGAAACAUCUGGUCAGUAUGUCUCUGACCGUCAGAGUUCCCCCCGAAGUCGUCGUGUUUCCAGAGCGGGUUCAGCUGCGGACUGAGAACUCAGUGACCUGCGUGGCCAGGAGCUUCUAUCCCAAGACCAUCAGUUUCACUUGGAUGAGAAACGGCCGUCCCGUCAAAGAAAUGAACAGCACAGCACCUCGAAUGAAUCGGGACGGCACGUACAACUCGGAGAGCGUCUACCGCUUCACGGCCGGAAGUCGAGAUGAGCUGAGCUGUGUGGUGGAGCACGAGGCCCUGGAGCAGCCGCUCAGGAGAUUCAUCACCUAUUUGGGGUGGACCAUUGCAGAGAUGAUAACUGUCAUCAUUCCAGUGCUCGUCGUCUUCAUCGUUCUUCUCCUUGUAUGUUGGUGGUCCUCAGUGCUCCUGUCACCUCUUGUCCCAUCAAAACUAAAUAAAGUCGAGGGGGAGCAAGCAGAGGUUCACUGCACCCUCAAAAGCUGGACACUCAAACUGGUCACUCUGCAAUGGUUUCUGAAUGGCCAGAAGAUCUCAUUGGACCAAAAGGGCCCCCCAGCUUACACCCUGAAGGGGGGCACAGAAGAGAAAGGCAAUUGUCUGAAGAAGACCACCACCUUGAAGUUCAUGGCAAGUAGAAAAGACCACGCGGAGGCCAAGCUUAGGUGUCGGGCCACACACCGGCUCACCAGGAGGAGUGUGGAGUGCUCAGUCACGUUGGGACAGGUGUACGCUCGCCCUCAGCUCUCAGAUAUCGAGAACAUUUCUGGAGACUCGGACGCCGAUGUGAAGCUCCAGAUUACAGCUGAGGAGUUCCACCCUCGAGACAUCAGCUUCACAUGGACCCUGGGAGAAGAGAUAGUGACCACCGAAACACUUGAGAUAAUAGACAACCCCGAUGGGACAUUCAGCACUAGUAGCGUCUGCUCAGUCCCGCUGUCUCGGGUUCAGACGGCCGGAUUCACGAUCUCGGUAGAAGUCGAUCACAUUUCACAGGGAAAGCUACUGAGGACGGCCACCAGCGACACCCCAGGUAUCGAUGGGCGCCCCCUGCUGUCUGACAUUCAGGUGCUCAGGUUUACAAAGCUGAAUGAGCCCUGCACACUGAACUGCACCAUCUCCAGGUUCAUCCCCAGUGCUGUCACGGUCACCUGGCUGAGAGCUAAAGCGGAGGGUGGACAGCAGCCUGUCACUGCAGGGUCACCUCAUUGGACAGCCACAGUGAACACACCCACCCCUGAGAAGAGGAAUAACGUCUAUGAGGUGACCUCUGAGGUCCAGUUUACACCUAAACAGCUGUCUGAGUUUGAGGAGAUGACCUACAUCUGCAGGGUGGGACACGUGACCCUCAUGGGGCAGCUCACUGAGAAGAUGGCUGAAAAGCUGGAGUUAGAAGGCUGUCACAAAAUGCCCAGGGCGCCAGAGUUAAAGAUCCACUUUGUGGAGCUGAGCCAGCCAUGCAUCCUGAGCUGCACCAUCACGGACUUCUACCCCAAGGAGAUCAAGGUGACCUGGCUGAGAAGGGACAAGGAGAAGACUCAAUGGGAAGCUGGGACACCACAGUGGAAAGCCACCACUGCCCAUUAUGGCCCGUCAAUGAGAAAGAACACCUUUGAUUUGGUGACUCAGGUGAAAUUCACCCCCAUGCAGCUUUCUGAGCUCGAUGACAUGGAGUUCAUCUGCAGAGUGGAGCACUUGGCCCUUAAGGGGAAGUAUUUGGAGAUAAGCUCUGCAAAGGUUUAUAUACCAGGUUGGCUCCUGGCCCAGCAAGCAAAGACAUUUGGAACGACAGCUGGAUAUCUGGACAAUAACGAAAAGGGGUUCACCUCCAAACUCUACUUCGGGCCUGAAAGACACCAGAGUGCCUAGUGGUCCUCAGCAGCCGGACUAAGCAAAUCAGGACGAGGCUCCAAGUGGACGGCCGCAUGACAUGACGUGAAAAUGCCAAGGAGAAUGAUGGCACCUUAAAGACCUCACUCACCUGGAGCAGGCUGGACCAUCAGAGUCAUGGACUGUGACCCCUAAUACACUGAGCACUGAGUGUGGCUUUGCAGGACCACUCAGUUGGUUUCAAUUAUUUUCUUUUCCUCCCAGACUGAACUUGAAAUGCAAUUUUAAAAGUUUUCUAAUUCAAGAUUUUCAAAAUGAACAGAGAGCUGAGGCUUCUCACUGGAGCGUCCACAACAAGCUGGACUAGUUAAAAAGUAGGAUAUCACUUUGAAAAGAAACGGAGAGAGAAGAUGACGGAGCAGUCGGAAAGACUCGGGCUGCAAAGUAAAGAGAUUUAGGAAGAAAAGGCCUGGGUGUGCCAAAGUCUUAGGGGACGUGUCCCAUCAUGGCAUCUGUGACAAACUCUGUGUGACUGGUGACCUCAAGAACACACCUUGGACCGGCCAGGUGAGACCCCACAAUGGCACAACUCACAGACACCUACGGGCAAAUCAACAAAAACAACUUCUACCUGAAACACAUUUGGAAAAAAAAAAACAUCUAACGCAUCUUAACAUUUUGACAUCAGGCCAGUAAAGGAGAAGAAGAACGGAGACGAGACGCUCCACUCACCCCUUGACUGGCUUCAUGACAAUCGCAUUCCAUGAAAUAUCAAAUUAUCUUCAGAACUCUGCCACUGAUUGUUAAGGAUGUUCAUUCCAACCCUCCAGAUGACCCUUUGUCUUGUCCAGGCGUCUCCUCCUCUGCUGGUCUUCUCACUCAUUAUUUGACUCCAAGGCUCGCUUAUCCUUCCUCACACACCAAAUGGUCUUCUUCAAUCUCCUCUCUUCUUUUUAAAUGGACUCCCAUCAUUUAUUCUCCUUUCUUAUUUGACUCUUCUGUCCCCAUUGGACUGAUGUUCACUUAACUCCUCUGCUGUCCCUCUGCUACAAGGACAUUUUUUAUUUUGUUCUGCUUGUUCUUCCUAUUGUGUGGAUUGUGGAUUUAUAUUUUAUUGUAUUUCUCAUUCUUUACAUGCUGAAUUGCAGUGCCUUUGACGUAUUGUGUGAGGUGCCUUUUAAAUAAAAACGGAGUGACCGUUGAGUUAUUCUGUCAGCGCCA
Molecule: non-coding RNA, 3650 nt
Organism: Polypterus senegalus (gray bichir)
Lineage: Eukaryota; Metazoa; Chordata; Cladistia; Polypteriformes; Polypteridae
Source: the annotation of a RefSeq genome assembly